GUACAUUGAGGCAAGCAGAUCCGCGCUUCCCACGCCCAGGAGAACAUGCGUUUGUCUCGAACCAUAUCCACUCCCGACAUUGUGAAACAGCGCGUUCGUCUUAGUAUAUCGUGAAGCGCCACGACCGCUACAAUUUCGAUUUUGGUGAAAAAAGUUUUACGACGGCUUGGACGUCUACUUUCCAUUUAGCUGUUUGUGGAGGACGCAUGAUUGACCUGUGCCGGACCAAAAGCGAAGAUUGCAUGAAAGAACUCAAGGCUAUACUCAGCUGCGCCACACUGGGAGGCUUACUGGAUAAGCAGAAGCAUCCCUGUGACUCCAAAAAAGUGCCUCCGCUUCUGUCUUCUCCCAUGAUGGCCCUGGCCUCCUUCCAUCUGAUGCAAACUCUAAAAAACUCUCCAGCGGCUCUGCGUCGGCGAUUCUGUCGCGACCGCACAGAGAGCCUGUCUCACGGCGAUCCCCUCUUCAAAGUGCACUACCUUGGCACCAAGAAGAUCUUCUCCCUGGACUUAGAGCAGGCGGAGGAUGCCAUCGAUCAACUCCUGGAUGGGGCGCCUGGGAAGCUUUCUAAAGAUCAUGCCAUGGUAGUGCGACCGCGAUACGUAGAAGUUAAAGAACUAAGCACUGGAAGACAGCUCACCAAGACCUACUUGCAGGAUAUCGCAUACUGUGCUUCGCACACGGCCAGACCCAAUGUGUUUCUGUAUAUCUGCAGGCAGCCCGGUCAGCAGCUACAAUGCAGAGUGUUCUGGUGCAGUCGGGCAGAAAGGGCAAAGGACAUGACUGCCUGCCUAGCAAUGUCAUUUCAGCAAGCGCUCAACGACUGGCAGGGUGGAUGUGCCACGUUGCCGCAAGGGGAAGGAAUCACUAAAGAGCCAGAGAUUCCUGGAACGCCCGCUGCACCCAAAGGGUCAACAUUGCCAGCUAGUUUGGGAAAAGUCCGUUGGAAAAAGAGGGGGUCGGUGUCCCGCAGUCCUCUCCGUGCCAUUUCCAGAAGAGGUUCUGACAGCGACAACUGGCACUGAUGUUUCCCAUCCCACCCUGAUUAUCGACAACAUUCAUUUUGGGAUGCUUGUGAAUUUCCAGCGUUGAAUGUGAGGAAAAAAACAACCACACCUACAGCUGAUGGAAUUUUUGAGCUUUGAUAAGAGUUUGCAACUCAAGUGCAGAGUCUGUUUCUGAACAGCCACUGCAUUUGACUUUACCAAAGUGAUAAAAAAUAGAUUUCUAGAGAUCAUUGUUUGGUUUAGGAAAUUGAUAGGUUCAGUCACGCUGGUUUAAAUUUCAUCUCAGUUUGCUUAAGGACUAUGAGACAAUACCAAAGCUGCUCAUCUGAGCUGAACUGGUGUCUAGUUUUAAAGCCAUGUAAGUAUCACAGAGUUGAGUUUUUCAAGUCAGUGUACAGUACAUGUCUGGGUAGUUUGCUGAUGUGACUGAUGAGCAGUGAGACAGUUUUUGUUUGUAUUAGAGGUGUCAGAUGAGGAUCUGUGUGGAAAGUGGGUGGAUGCAUGAUAGUAAACAGUAGCAGGACCAGGACAUCAAAGUAAUUGCCUUGGAAAACUGUUUUGGCCAAAACCUCCACAUAUUGUUACUGAUGAUUGAAUUAAUAUUACACCCUCAAUGUGACCAUGUUGUAUUAUUUACUGCAUAUUUGUAUACCAACUUGACAAUCAGCACUGGUUGUAAUUUAGCAUUGGAAAGACAGAGGUACUGAUUCUUGUUUCUGGUUGGUCUAUUAUAGCCAUAUCCUGCUUUGCCUGGUUUUACCUCAGUUUGCCAUUUUUUAAAAUGUUUUUAAUUCAUAAUUUGAGUUGUUCAAGCUUUGAACUUGAAGCAUAGGUUCCAAACAGAUAAAGAGGAACAGAGUUAAUGCUGUUAAUUGCUGUUUUCUCUUAAAAUGAGAAUAUUUUCUCCAAGCACCUGCAUUCCAGCAGUUUUUUUUUUUAGGCUUUUUUUUCUGUAACUGCAAGUUGUUUCACUACAUCAGCCCAUUUUUGUCUAAAAAGAAAAAAGCCAAGUAAGUAACUGUCUCCUGGCAACAGCUUAAGACAUCAGAAUGCUGACUGAUUUAAAGGUAUGCUUGCGUUAACGUCAUGUCCUUGAAAAAAGCAGCAUCUUUGCACUGCAGUUACGUGUAGUUAUAAAUCACAUUUUUAAGUGGCCUAGUUGCAUAAACCAAGUAUCUGAAACAAGGACACCCUGCUUCGCAUGACUGGAACAAUCAAGAUUUCCUAGUAGAAAAGAUUGUCCAGCACCAUAAGUGGCUAUUUUCUUCACACUGUUACAUACACACACUAAGAAUUGCAUCAUAUAUAACAGUAGUAUACAGUCAGUGCCUCAUGGUAUAAGAAAUUCUGCCUGAUGUUACGCCAAUUACAUCAAAAGAUUUUUUUCCCAUUUUAUCCUUAUGGAUUUUAUUUAAAGCCAUAUUAAACCGUAUCUCGUACUACAAUGACCUCAGAUCUGUUGUUGGAUCUGUUCUGUCUGCUUUAUGAGGUGUUUAAUGUUAUAUGAAUGUUCUUGUACUAUUUUCAUGUACGUAUUUAAAUAUUAAAUGUAUUUUAUGGAAUAUUAAACUUUUUAUACAUGAAACAUUUGUGGCCUGUAUUCUUUUAAUUUAUUAAACACCAAGACAUCAAUAACUUUUAAAAAGCCAGUUGUUACUUGAAUUUCAGGACAGAUUGGAUCCUUAAAGAGGGAGCAGCUUCUGUGUAAGUCAUGGGGUGCAAAUCUUUUAAUGCCAGGGAUUAAAAUGCUCCUGGUCUGAUUUCAUAACCUUUCAUUCGUACGUAAUUCUCAAAAACAUGCCAUGGCUGAUAUUUAGACGCUUAAAGUGGCUAAAGCUAUCAUUAUUAAACCUCUUAGUUUAUACAUAAAUUAAUGCUCAUAUAUAUAUAUAUAUAAACAUGUUAGUUUAUGGUUCAAAUUUUUACAGUUCUAGAUUUUAAUGUUUGGAGUUUUAGCCCAAAUGGUAAAAGCAGUGAUCCUUUGGAGUUUAAUACUCUUGGAUGUUGUUGUCCAUAUUCAUUUGGUGGGUAAAUGACUUUGAGUCCUGUCGCUACCCUGAAACCUUUGGACCUCAGAAAGGUUUUGGAAAUGAAGUCUUCUCAGCGGCUUCAACUCUUCCUAAAACACAAAGUAAGGGAAACAGUGUGUUAGAGGAUGAUGGUAAACUCUAACCUAAGGCCAAAACCAGUAACCACUGCGGCUCUAGACAGAAAAAUUCGGUACAGUGAAAUGAAUAUAUGCAACAGACACAGGAUAUAGGAUUAAGGCCUAAGAAUUUGCUGUUUAGAUUUUUGUAUUGUUUUUCUUACUCAUACCCCUUAUCGUAUCAGCACAAUGACUAAGAACAUUCAAAAUAUUUGGAUCCUAGAUUUCCCAGACUCUGUGCUCACCCAGAUCAUAGAACAGCUCCUCUCGGAUUCCCUGAACCACAAUCAUCUCCAGGAAAUUCAGGAGGGCCCCAGUGACCAGGAAGCGCUCUGGGAGGGACAGGGUUUGGAGGUAGCGCAUGUCCAAAGAGAAGGGGUUGUCUGGAGGCGGCAUGGUGCACAGUCCCACCACCUCACUCAUUAUGUCCCACACAUGAGUUUCUACAGGGCAGAUAAAAGGUGAGUGUGUUAUGUAAGACCCUUGUAAAAUCAAAAGUACGUUAAAAAAAGUACAGCUAAAUAUUUGGUAAAGGUAAGAUCUUUGAUCACUGUCCUUCUGGUGUGAUAAGGGGUUGAUAUGCAUUAUGGUAACACAAAAAUACAUGGAUGUACAACCACCAAAAGCCACUAAAAUAAGUUGUAUGUUUAUUUAUAUAUAAUCUUUAACCUUAAAAAAAAGACAGUAAAACUUUGAUUCAGGAACAUAAAGAAAGUGUUUUUAAUAAAAUUUUGAAAAUAUGGCCA
Molecule: long non-coding RNA, 3899 nt
Organism: Cyprinus carpio (common carp)
Lineage: Eukaryota; Metazoa; Chordata; Actinopteri; Cypriniformes; Cyprinidae
Source: Ensembl